RNAcentral lists this long non-coding RNA (730 nucleotides) under Strongylocentrotus purpuratus (purple sea urchin). Its description in RNAcentral is "uncharacterized LOC105440715". Lineage: Eukaryota; Metazoa; Echinodermata; Echinoidea; Camarodonta; Strongylocentrotidae. The record is from RNAcentral.
GAAAAUGUACAUUGCGACUUGUCGCAGUAUCAAAUGCUUGCCUCCUCUGAGUAUGUGCUUGAAACAAGAAUGUCCUGGAGAAAACAGACCGUCACAAGAGAAGGAAUUGAGAAGGAGGGCUUCCUGUCAAGAGAUCAUGGGGUGCCUUGAGGUUCCAGCCUUGAAUUUCUGCUCUUUACCUCUAAGCAAUGGCCUCUUGUAGGAGCAAAGCACAAUGGACUGGUGCCUGUACAUGUAAUGCAGAAGCUCAUGAAGAUAUGGUAGACAAGACAAGGACCUUGUUGUGUAAAGCUCAGAGGCCAGAUGACAGUGUCUGAACCAGCUUGUCAGAAUUGGUUACAAAGAUGCAAGUGGACUUGUCUUCAGAAGUAGCUAAAGAGGAGCAGUCAGCCGAAGGAGCACGCAACUCCAAAACAAUGUGGAUACUGGAUACUUCUCUCAAGUUCAUCUCUAAUCAGACAUGGCUCUUCAGGAAUCAAGAUGAGUCAAUGGAGGUAGAGGAGUUUGUGACCCUCCUGACUGUGGACUACUUGCAUUAUACAUGUAGCACUACUGCACAAAACUCGACCAGUCAUGCUUGAGCAAAUCGUAACAAACACUUGUUGAAGCAUUGAUUUAUGUAACUGGUAUUAUAGCCAUUAGGUAGAGUUAAGCUUCUAAAUUUGAUAAGAAACUUUGUCCCAAAAGAACCGCAAGCUGCGAUCCCCUCCCCCCCUCUGCUCUUACCCUU